RNAcentral lists this ribosomal RNA (492 nucleotides) under uncultured bacterium. RNAcentral describes it as "partial 16S ribosomal RNA". It matches the Rfam family "Bacterial small subunit ribosomal RNA", at positions 29 to 507 of the family's 1533-position model. The record is from RNAcentral.
AGUGAACGCUGGCGGUAGGCCUAACACAUGCAAGUCGAACGGCAGCACAGUAAGAGCUUGCUCUUACGGGUGGCGAGUGGCGGACGGGUGAGGAAUACAUCGGAAUCUACUUUUUCGUGGGGGAUAACGUAGGGAAACUUACGCUAAUACCGCAUACGACCUACGGGUGAAAGCAGGGGAUCUUCGGACCUUGCGCGAUUGAAUGAGCCGAUGUCGGAUUAGCUAGUUGGCGGGGUAAAGGCCCACCAAGGCGACGAUCCGUAGCUGGUCUGAGAGGAUGAUCAGCCACACUGGAACGGAGACACGGUCCAGACUCCUACGGGAGGCAGCAGUGGGGAAUAUUGGACAAUGGGCGCAAGCCUGAUCCAGCCAUACCGCGUGGGUGAAGAAGGCCUUCGGGUUGUAAAGCCUUUUUGUUGGGAAAGAAAAGCAGCAGGUUAAUACCCCGCUGUUCUGACGGUACCCAAAGAAUAAGCACCGGCUAACUUCGUG